CGGGUGAGUAACGCGUGGGGAAUCUGCCUUUGAGCGGGGGACAACAUUUGGAAACGAAUGCUAAUACCGCAUAAAAACUUUAAACACAAAUUUUAAGUUUGAAAGAUGCAAUUGCAUCACUCAAAGAUGAUCCCGCGUUGUAUUAGCUAGUUGGUGAGGUAAAGGCUCACCAAGGCGAUGAUACAUAGCCGACCUGAGAGGGUGAUCGGCCACAUUGGGACUGAGACACGGCCCAA
This 236-nucleotide ribosomal RNA is filed under the name uncultured bacterium. Its description in RNAcentral is "partial 16S ribosomal RNA". It matches the Rfam family "Bacterial small subunit ribosomal RNA", at positions 103 to 334 of the family's 1533-position model. The record is from RNAcentral.